Long non-coding RNA from Anopheles merus, 462 nucleotides. RefSeq lists it as uncharacterized. The transcript is spliced from 2 exons. NCBI's taxonomy places the organism in Eukaryota, Metazoa, Arthropoda, Insecta, Diptera, Culicidae. The record is from RefSeq and is a predicted model, not a curated record.
AGUGAUUUAGCUGGGAGGUGAGGAAGCGUGGGAAAAACGAGCAAUAGAAUAGAACGCCCCGCGUACCCAGUGCGUGCAAGGAUAACAGUGUCUAUCCUUAUCGUGACAGCUUAACGAGAGAGCGAGAGAGAGAGAGAGAGAGUGUGAAAGAGCGAGUGAGAGUAGUAGACGCUGUGUGGUCCAUCAUCAUCGAUGCCAACGAAGGGAAUUGCAAUCGAAGGAAGCCAUCACUAGUCGCGAAAGCUGGCCGCUGCUGCACAUCAUAAUUGCACAAAAGAAAAACAAAACAACGAAGCGCACAACAGUGAGCGAAGAAUACAGUAUCGGAAAAUGCACAAAUCAGCCGGCUGGAAUGAUUUAACUCUACCGCGGCUGUAACCCACAAUCCCUCUGUCGCACAAUCAUUGCGUUCGUACAAUCAUCGCACACCCAACCGGUACACAUCAUUUCAUCAGACAAGGG